GGCGACGUGGCCAAGUGGUUAAGGCGGCGGUCUGCAAAACCGCUAUUCACCGGUUCGAAUCCGGUCGUCGCCUCCA
RNAcentral lists this transfer RNA (76 nucleotides) under Dehalococcoidales bacterium. RNAcentral's name for it is "tRNA-Cys". It matches the Rfam family "tRNA". From Rfam's summary of the family: Transfer RNA (tRNA) molecules are approximately 80 nucleotides in length. Lineage: Bacteria; Bacillati; Chloroflexota; Dehalococcoidia; Dehalococcoidales. The record is from RNAcentral.